GACGAACGCUGGCGGCGUGCUUAACACAUGCAAGUCGAACGGAAAGGCCCUGCUUUUGUGGGGUGCUCGAGUGGCGAACGGGUGAGUAACACGUGAGUAACCUGCCCUUGACUUUGGGAUAACUUCGGGAAACUGGGGCUAAUACCGGAUAGGAGCUCCUGCUGCAUGGUGGGGGUUGGAAAGUUUCGGCGGUUGGGGAUGGACUCGCGGCUUAUCAGCUUGUUGGUGGGGUAGUGGCUUACCAAGGCUUUGACGGGUAGCCGGCCUGAGAGGGUGACCGGCCACAUUGGGACUGAGAUACGGCCCAGACUCCUACGGGAGGCAGCAGUGGGGAAUAUUGCACAAUGGGCGGAAGCCUGAUGCAGCAACACCGCGUGCGGGAUGACGGCCUUCGGGUUGUAAACCGCUUUCGCCUGUGACGAAGCGUGAGUGACGGUAAUGGGUAAAGAAGCACCGGCUAACUACGUG
This 468-nucleotide ribosomal RNA is filed under the name uncultured bacterium. RNAcentral describes it as "partial 16S ribosomal RNA". It matches the Rfam family "Bacterial small subunit ribosomal RNA", at positions 28 to 507 of the family's 1533-position model. The record is from RNAcentral.